AUGUCUGGGAAACUGCCUGAUGGAGGGGGAUAACUACUGGAAACGGUAGCUAAUACCGCAUAACGUCGCAAGACCAAAGUGGGGGACCUUCGGGCCUCAUGCCAUCAGAUGUGCCCAGAUGGGAUUAGCUAGUAGGUGGGGUAACGGCUCACCUAGGCGACGAUCCCUAGCUGGUCUGAGAGGAUGACCAGCCACACUGGAACUGAGACACGGUCCAGACUCCUACGGGAGGCAGCAGUGGGGAAUAUUGCACAAUGGGCGCAAGCCUGAUGCAGCCAUGCCGCGUGUGUGAAGAAGGCCUUCGGGUUGUAAAGCACUUUCAGCGGGGAGGAAGGCGRURAGGUUAAUAACCUYGUCGAUUGACGUUWCCCGCAGAAGAAGCACCGGCUAACUCYGUGCYAGCAGCCGCGGUAAUACGGAGGGUGCAAGCGUUAAUCGGAAUUACUGGGCGUAAAGCGCACGCAGGCGGUCUGUCAAGUCGGAUGUGAAAUCCCCGGGCUCAACCUGGGAACUGCAUUCGAAACUGGCAGGCUAGAGUCUUGUAGAGGGGGGUAGAUUUCCAGG
RNAcentral lists this ribosomal RNA (564 nucleotides) under Klebsiella pneumoniae. RNAcentral describes it as "bacterial SSU rRNA". It matches the Rfam family "Bacterial small subunit ribosomal RNA", at positions 113 to 673 of the family's 1533-position model. The record is from RNAcentral. Lineage: Bacteria; Pseudomonadati; Pseudomonadota; Gammaproteobacteria; Enterobacterales; Enterobacteriaceae.